CAGAGUUUAUCAUGGCUCAGGAUGAACGCUAGCUACAGGCUUAACACAUGCAAGUCGAGGGGAAACGACAUCGAAAGCUUGCUUUUGAUGGGCGUCGACCGGCGCACGGGUGAGUAACGCGUAUCCAACCUGCCCAUCACUUGGGGAUAACCUUGCGAAAGUAAGACUAAUACCCAAUGAUAUCUCUAGAAGACAUCUGAAAGAGAUUAAAGAUUUAUCGGUGAUGGAUGGGGAUGCGUCUGAUUAGCUUGUUGGCGGGGUAACGGCCACCAAGGCUACGAUCAGUAGGGGUUCUGAGAGGAACGGUCCCCCANAUUGGAACUGAGACACGGUCCAAACUCCUACGGGAGGCA
RNAcentral lists this ribosomal RNA (353 nucleotides) under uncultured bacterium. RNAcentral describes it as "bacterial SSU rRNA". It matches the Rfam family "Bacterial small subunit ribosomal RNA", at positions 8 to 350 of the family's 1533-position model. The record is from RNAcentral.